This 72-nucleotide transfer RNA is filed under the name Camelus bactrianus (Bactrian camel). It matches the Rfam family "tRNA". From Rfam's summary of the family: Transfer RNA (tRNA) molecules are approximately 80 nucleotides in length. Their secondary structure includes four short double-helical elements and three loops (D, anti-codon, and T loops). Further hydrogen bonds mediate the characteristic L-shaped molecular structure. tRNAs have two regions of fundamental functional importance: the anti-codon, which is responsible for specific mRNA codon recognition, and the 3' end, to which the tRNAs corresponding amino acid is attached (by aminoacyl-tRNA synthetases). tRNAs cope with the degeneracy of the genetic code in two manners: having more than one tRNA (with a specific anti-codon) for a particular amino acid; and 'wobble' base-pairing, i.e. permitting non-standard base-pairing at the 3rd anti-codon position. Lineage: Eukaryota; Metazoa; Chordata; Mammalia; Artiodactyla; Camelidae. RNAcentral also lists the same sequence under 2 other names. The record is from Rfam by way of RNAcentral.
GAGGGUAUAGCUCAGUGGUAGAAUGCAUGCUUAGCAUGCACAAGGCCCUGGGUUCAAUCCCCAGUACCUCUA